UACAGAGGUCUCAAGCGUUGUCCGGAUUCAUUGGGCGAAAAGGGUGCGUAGGUGGCGCUGUAAGUCGGGUGUGAAAUCCUGAGGCUUAACCUCGGAACUGCAUUCGAUACUGCGGCGCUUGAGGACUGGAGAGGAGACUGGAAUUCAUGGUGUAGCAGUGAAAUGCGUAGAGAUCAUGAGGAAGACCAGUGGCGAAGGCGGGUCUCUGGACAGUUCCUGACACUGAGGCACGAAGGCCAGGGGAGCAAACGGG
This 253-nucleotide ribosomal RNA is filed under the name uncultured bacterium. RNAcentral's name for it is "partial 16S ribosomal RNA". It matches the Rfam family "Bacterial small subunit ribosomal RNA", at positions 524 to 776 of the family's 1533-position model. The record is from RNAcentral.